Molecule: long non-coding RNA, 18380 nt
Organism: Astatotilapia calliptera (eastern happy)
Lineage: Eukaryota; Metazoa; Chordata; Actinopteri; Cichliformes; Cichlidae
Source: Ensembl
ACCUAAAGGAUUAAUUAUUAGAAUCUCGGCUUCAGAUAGGGUGUCAACCAUUAUAACCUUGUUGGAUAGAUCAACAAAUGAAGCUGGGUUCAUUUAAAGAUCUAACUAGGCCUGUUGUCUUAUUGGUCCUCUUUCCCAAGAUUGAAAGAACUUUCUAAAAUCUUUUGAAAAAAGAUUCUGAAUUCUAAUAAGGAUUUUCUAAAUAUUAUAUAGAAAAUCAUUUCACUAAAAACACAAUAAAAAUUGUAUUGAAGAAUCAGGCAAGUUACAGAAUCAAGUGUUGUUUAUUUUGUCUACACUUUCCAGGUCUAUACUACCGUAGCAAAGGGUGUCAUGGUCCUGAGUCUGCCGACUCAGUGUUUUAUGUUUCUUUAUGCUUUUGUUCAUUUAUACAUAUUCUGUUACGAAUUGCCAUUUGUUAGGUUUCUGUUCUGUGCUUUCCCUGGUUCCACUUCUGUGUUCUGUCUGUCUAUGGUGUCACACUGUCUGUGUGUGAAUCUGUCUGUUUAGUUCAGCGUCUUGUCCAGUUCUGUGUCUGUGAGUUUCCUGUUUUAUUCUGAAGGUCUCUAUCUCAUGUGAGUGUGUUCAGUUUACGUUUCCCCUGUCCCGUCAGCUUUGAUGUUCUCCUGCCUGUUGCCGGUUCGUCACUGCCUCUCCCCCAUUCUGGAACCCUCUCAGGUUUGUCAUUUAGCUUUCCCAGUGUAGGUCUUUAGUUUUGUCUUCCUUCUUUGCCUGUUUUGCCAUCUCACCACUGUGUAAAUAAAACAUCACUAGCAUUAUCAUCUACUGCCUGCGUUUUGGGUCCUUUCUCCCUUCUACACCACACGGCUCGCCUCGGCAGCCGUGACAAAGGGUUUAUAUAUGACAUAUAAAUAUAUAUAUAUAUAUAUGUAUGUGUACAUGAUAUACCCCAAUGAAGAUAAUUAGAUGGCAUGAGUUUUAUAUUUAAUUUGUCAAUUUACAAUUAACUGUGUAAUUAAUUUAAAUAAUGUUUCAAACAAUUGGGUUCUUAUAUAAUUCGAAAUUUACCAAAAGAAAAAUAUUGCAGUGAUGUGAAUGGUUUUGGAAAAAGAUUUAUUUAGGGAUCAAAUUUAUGUUAAACAUGCAUUUUUCUUUCAUUUAAAUAUGAAUAUAUAUGGAGUCACAGUUUUCAAAUAUUCUUGUUAGUUUUGAUUUUACUGUAUUCUUUGUGCUUCUGUAUUCUAACACAAGACAACAGAAUAAAUAUGUUGAAAGAAGAUUAAUUAGAAAUCAGCAUAAAAAUGUAAUUAGAAAUGUUAAGAUUAUCUGUUAAACUUUAAUAUUUUGCAUUUGUGAAAAAAAUAACAUGUUAAAGGAAUACUUUUACAUUACAUAACUAGUUGUUUAAAAAUUAGAUGAUUGACAUCAGACUGGUACUCUUACGUUGUUAGGUUAAUAUGAUUAACGGGAAAAACACAUUUUCCAAAUACACACAUAUUAAUAUAACUAAAAAGUAAAACAAAAGGUAAAUGGACUGAUUUUUAUGUAGCACUUUUCUUGCCUCUCAUUUUUUCUUUAUACAUCCUUGCUUGCAGUAGGCACAAUAACGGGAGCAACAGCGAUAACAGGAAAGUCUGAGCUGACUGAGGAGUCCAGGAGAUCUCUCUGGUGCUGCUUCAGAUUCUUCUACCUUUAUUUGCUCUUGAUAGAUAUUUGGAGAAUCUAGUUGAACUGUUUGAUUAGCUUUGUUGCUAGUUGUCAGUGUCUUAGACGCUUUGUUUUGUAUGUAGAAUUUCUCAAUCUCACUAAGCAUGCGGACCUUAAGUUGUUGGAGCUCGGUAUAUUUUUCAUCAAGUGAUUUGUGUUCUCCAUCCCUGCCACUUACAGAUAAAAACGUAUUACUUUGCCCAUGUUCCAACAUUUUUCUUGUUUUCUCAACUGAUGUCUUUUCUUUCUGAAAUAUUGAUCUCCUAACAAAAUGAUUGAUCACCUUUACUCUUUUAUCCAUAUUGUUUCUCAUUUCUUGACCUCUGAGCUUCAUCUGAUUUAUUUCAUUUCGUUCUAUUCUAGUGUCCUUCCAGAUUUGUUUCAAAAACUCAGUUUUUAAAAUUCCCUUCUGUGUGAAGUCAUCUUCCUCUGCUGACAAGAUGGACAACGUUGCAAGAUUUGUUUUCUUGACAUUUCCAAAUUCUUCACCUUCUCCUACUAACAGCAGACCUUCCUUGUCAGGUGUCAAGUAUCUUUUGCUUCCUUCAAGAUUAACUGCAACAUCCUUCAUCCUCUGCUUAAAUUCAUGUUCAUUGGUCUCUUCAUCCUGAUGCUCAUGUAAGCAUUGUUUUACAACAUCCUCAGUUUGGAUUGCUUUGUCAAAUGUUGUCUUAAACACAUGUUUCUUUUGUUGUUGUAUCUUGUCAUAAUCUGCAGUAAUUUUAAUUUUCUGCUUAUAAAUUCUGACCCAAUUUUGUUCAUAUGUGGAGAUCACUUGUAAUAUUUUUUCAUUUUCCCCCUCUACUCUCUUAAUAUAUGUCGGCAAGUCUUGAUGAAUCAGUCUAUUUAGUUUUCCUAUAAGGUUUCUUGUAGAGAUUGUAACACUACUGAGGAUGUCCUCUCUGGGUUGUACAUCAGACAGUUCACCUUUCAGGGAUUUCCUCGCAAUUAGUUUCACUUUCAGAAUCUCUAGUGAUUUCAUUUCAUCCAUGACUUGGUCUCCCCUCAUUUCCAUCCCAGACUGCUGUUCUUCCACAUUUCUCCUUUCCUUCAACAACAGUUCUUGUUCUUUGGCAAUGUCAGUCUUCAUCUCUUUCAUCUCUUCUUUUUCUUCACUCAUGAUUCCCUUUGCACGUUCAAGCUCUUCUUGCUUCUUCUUCAGAUUCCUCAUCAGACUCUCCACUUUUGCUCUUUCACUCUGUAAUUCCUUUUUCAUGAUUUCCACUUCUUUUGUUUGUCUUCUGAGUUCAUCUUCCUUGACUUUUUCUUCAUUAUGUGUUAAGAAAAUCUUGCUUAAAAUGUCUUCAAGUCUUUCUUUUUCCGUUUGAACCUGAAGGAUACAAUUUUUAAUCUUGGCUUUUUCGUCAUUUGUCUCAUGUAACAGCCUGUUUACAUGUUCCAUCUUAUUGAGCAGUUCAAGCUUUAUGGUUUCCAUUGAGUCUCGUUCUUCUUUUAUAUUUUGUUUCUUUUCUUCCAAUAUUUCAAAUUGUUUCUUGAUGUCAGACAUCAACACCUUCAAAUCCAUUUUCUCUUUAUUCAGCACCUCACUUUCUCUCUCCAGAUCUUCUCUGUCGUGUCUCAGAUUUUCUUUCACUUCAUCAAGCUCUCGUUUGUCCAAUUCAAACUGCUGCUUCCAUUCAUUUUCUGUGCUUUCUCUCUUGGUGACCAUUUCUGAAAGGAUACUUCUCACACCUUCCUUUUCUCUCUCUAACAUUUCAGUGAAACAGCGAAUGCUUUCUUUCAGUUCGUCUUGGGUUGGAAGUUUUUCUUCCAACACUGUUUGCAGCCUUGACCUGUUGUCAACAUUUUGUAGUAAUCUCUCCAUUUUGGCUUUUAUAUCCUCCUUCAGUUGUUGAAGUUUCACUUUCAGAAUCUCUAGCAAUUUCAUUUCAUCCAUGACUUGGUCUCCUCUCAUUUCCAUCUCAGACCGCUCUUCUUCCAUAUUUCUCCUUUCCUUCAACAACAGUUCUCGUUCUUUGGCAAUGUCAGUCUUCAUCUCUUUCAUCUCUUCUUUUUCUUCACUCAUGAUUCCCUUUGCACGUUCAAGCUCUUCUUGCUUCUUCUUCAGAUUCCUCAUCAGACUCUCCACUUUUGCUCUUUCACUCUGUAAUUCCUUUUUCAUGAUUUCCACUUCUUUUGUUUGACUUCUGAGUUCAUCUUCCUUGACUUUUUCUUCAUUAUGUGUUAAGAAAAUCUUGCUUAAAAUGUCUUCAAGUCUUUCUUUUUCCGUUUGAACCUGAAGGAUACAAUUUUUAAUCUUGGCUUUUUCGUCAUUUGUCUCAUGUAACAGCCUGUUUACAUGUUCCAUCUUAUUGAGCAGUUCAAGCUUUAUGGUUUCCAUUGAGUCUCGUUCUUCUUUUAUAUUUUGUUUCUUUUCUUCCAAUAUUUCAAAUUGUUUCUUGAUGUCAGACAUCAACACCUUCAAAUCCAUUUUCUCUUUAUUCAACACCUCACUUUCUCUCUCCAGAUCUUCUCUGUCAUGUUUUAGAUCUUCUUUCACUUUAUCAAGUUCUCGUUUGUCCAGUUCAAACUGCUUCUUCCAUUCAUUUUCUGUGCAUUCUCUCUUGGUGACCAUGUCUGAAAGGAUACUUCUCACACCUUCCUUUUCUCUCUCUAACAUUUCAGUGAAACAGCGAAUGCUUUCUUUCAGUUCGUCUUGGGUUGGAAGUUUUUCUUCCAACACUGUUUGCAGCCUUGACCUGUUGUCAACAUUUUGUAGUAAUCUCUCCAUUUUGGCUUUUAUAUCCUCCUUCAGUUGUUGAAGUUUCACUUUCAGAAUCUCUAGCAAUUUCAUUUCAUCCAUGACUUGGUCUCCUCUCAUUUCCAUCUCAGACCGCUCUUCUUCCAUAUUUCUCCUUUCCUUCAACAACAGUUCUCGUUCUUUGGCAAUGUCAGUCUUCAUCUCUUUCAUCUCUUCUUUUUCUUCACUCAUGAUUCCCUUUGCACGCCCAAGCUCUUCUUGCUUCUUCUUCAGAUUCCUCAUCAGACUCUCCACUUUUGCUCUUUCACUCUGUAAUUCCUUUUUCAUGAUUUCCACUUCUUUUGUUUGACUUCUGAGGUCAUCUUCCUUGACUUUUUCUUCAUUAUGUGUUAAGAAAAUCUUGCUUAAAAUGUCUUCAAGUCUUUCUUUUUCCAUUUGAACCUGAAGGAUACAAUUUUUAAUCUUGGCUUUUUCGUCAUUUGUCUCAUGUAACAGCCUGUUUACAUGUUCCAUCUUAUCGAGCAGUUCAAGCUUUAUGGUUUCCAUUGAGUCUCGUUCUUCUUUUAUAUUUUGUUUCUUUUCUUCCAAUAUUUCAAAUUGUUUCUUGAUGUCAGACAUCAACACCUUCAAAUCCAUUUUCUCUUUAUUCAGCACCUCACUUUCUCUCUCCAGAUCUUCUCUGUCGUGUCUCAGAUCUUCUUUCACUUUAUCAAGCUCUCGUUUGUCCAGUUCAAACUGCUGCUUCCAUUCAUUUUCUGUGCAUUCUCUCUUGGUGACCAUUUCUGAAAGGAUACUUCUCACACCUUCCUUUUCUCUCUCUAACAUUUCAGUGAAACAGCGAAUGCUUUCUUUCAGUUCGUCUUGGGUUGGAAGUUUUUCUUCCAACACUGUUUGCAGCCUUGACCUGUUGUCAACAUUUUGUAGUAAUCUCUCCAUUUUGGCUUUUAUAUCCUCCUUCAGUUGUUGAAGUUUCACUUUCAGAAUCUCUAGCAAUUUCAUUUCAUCCAUGACUUGGUCUCCUCUCAUUUCCAUCUCAGACCGCUCUUCUUCCAUAUUUCUCCUUUCCUUCAACAACAGUUCUCGUUCUUUGGCAAUGUCAGUCUUCAUCUCUUUCAUCUCUUCUUUUUCUCCACUCAUGAUUCCUUUGCACGUUCAAGCUCUUCUUGCUUCUUCUUCAGAUUCCUCAUCAGACUCUCCACUUUUGCUCUUUCACUCUGUAAUUCCUUUUUCAUGAUUUCCACUUCUUUUGUUUGUCUUCUGAGGCCAUCUUCCUUGACUUUUUCUUCAUUAUGUGUUAAGAAAAUCUUGCUUAAAAUGUCUUCAAGUCUUUCUUUUUCCGUUUGAACCUGAAGGAUACAAUUUUUAAUCUUGGCUUUUUCGUCAUUUGUCUCAUGUAACAGCCUGUUUACAUGUUCCAUCUUAUUGAGCAGUUUAAGCUUUAUGGUUUCCAUUGAGUCUCGUUCUUCUUUUAUAUUUUGUUUCUUUUCUUCCAAUAUUUCAAAUUGUUUCAUGAUGUCAGACAUCAACACCUUCAAAUCCAUUUUCUCUUUAUUCAGCACCUCACUUUCUCUCUCCAGAUCUUCUCUGUCGUGUCUCAGAUCUUCUUUCACUUCAUCAAGCUCUCGUUUGUCCAGUUCAACCUGCUGCUUCCAUUCAUUUUCUGUGCUUUCUCUCUUGGUGACCAUUUCUGAAAGGAUACUUCUCACACCUUCCUUUUCUCUCUCUAACAUUUCAGUGAAACAGCGAAUGCUUUCUUUCAGUUCGUCUUGGGUUGGAAGUUUUUCUUCCAACACUGUUUGCAGCCUUGACCUGUUGUCAACAUUUUGUAGUAAUCUCUCCAUUUUGGCUUUUAUAUCCUCCUUCAGUUGUUGAAGUUUCACUUUCAGAAUCUCUAGCAAUUUCAUUUCAUCCAUGACUUGGUCUCCUCUCAUUUCCAUCUCAGACCGCUCUUCUUCCAUAUUUCUCCUUUCCUUCAACAACAGUUCUCGUUCUUUGGCAAUGUCAGUCUUCAUCUCUUUCAUCUCUUCUUUUUCUCCACUCAUGAUUUCCUUUGCACGUUCAAGCUCUUCUUGCUUCUUCUUCAGAUUCCUCAUCAGACUCUCCACUUUUGCUCUUUCACUCUGUAAUUCCUUUUUCAUGAUUUCCACUUCUUUUGUUUGUCUUCUGAGGCCAUAUUCCUUGACUUUUUCUUCAUUAUGUGUUAAGAAAAUCUUGCUUAAAAUGUCUUCAAGUCUUUCUUUUUCCAUUUGAACCUGAAGGAUACAAUUUUUAAUCUUGGCUUUUUCGUCAUUUGUCUCAUGUAACAGCCUGUUUACAUGUUCCAUCUUAUUGAGCAGUUCAAGCUUUAUGGUUUCCAUUGAGUCUCGUUCUUCUUUUAUAUUUUGUUUCUUUUCUUCCAAUAUUUCAAAUUGUUUCAUGAUGUCAGACAUCAACACCUUCAAAUCCAUUUUCUCUUUAUUCAGCACCUCACUUUCUCUCUCCAGAUCUUCUCUGUCGUGUCUCAGAUCUUCUUUCACUUUAUCAAGCUCUCGUUUGUCCAGUUCAAACUGCUGCUUCCAUUCAUUUUCUGUGCAUUCUCUCUUGGUGACCAUGUCUGAAAGGAUACUUCUCACACCUUCCUUUUCUCUCUCUAACAUUUCAGUGAAACAGCGAAUGCUUUCUUUCAGUUCGUCUUGGGUUGGAAGUUUUUCUUCCAACACUGUUUGCAGCCUUGACCUGUUGUCAACAUUUUGUAGUAAUCUCUCCAUUUUGGCUUUUAUAUCCCCCUUCAGUUGUUGAAGUUUCACUUUCAGAAUCUCUAGCGAUUUCAUUUCAUCCAUGACUUGGUCUCCUCUCAUUUCCAUCUCUUUCUCUUCAUCUUUGAUGUUUCUCCUUACCUUCAACAACAGUUCUUUUCUAUUCUCACGUCUAGUUUUCAUCUGGAUGACUUUUUCUUUUUCCUGGUUACAUUUUUUUAUCUCUUUUUUUAUCAAGUCUUGUUUUGUGUCUUGUAAGAUCACCCUUUUUAUACCAUCCUUAGUCGUUUCUCUUUUAUAUUCUUUCUUUACAGUCAGAUACUCAGUACUGUGUUUUUCUUUUUGUUUGCCCCAAAACAUUUUAUUGAAAUCUUUCAGUUUCAUUUUUUUUUCAGUUUCUUUUAUUUCAGUUGUUUUCCUUUCCUCUUUUAUGUUUUCAUUUUUUUGUUUUAAUAUGUCUAUUUCUUUUUUGAUUUUACAGCCUCUCAUGUCAAGUUUCUGGUUCUUUUUCAACAACUCUUUCACUCUUUCAAGAUCCUCUUUGUCUUGACUCUCGUCUGCACUUAAGUCAUCCAAGGCAUCUUUUUCUAUCUCAUAUAUUUUUUCCCUUUCAUUUUCAUGCUUUCCUUGCUCCGUCUUGAUUUUUGUCUCCACUUGUUCCCCAUGUUUUGGCUCUUGUUGUAUGUUUUUUAAUGCACACCGUAUAAUUUCCUUUUGCCUAUUUAAUUCACUUUUAAUAUUCAGUGUUUCUUUCCUUUUGGUCAUGUAGAAAUUUUUUUGGUCUUGCAUGUGUUUAUUUUCAUUCUGAAUUAUUCCAAUGAUGAAUUGAGUGUUUUUAAUUACCUUUUUAUAUUCCCCUAAGUAUUUCUUGAUUAGUUCCCAUUGUUUUUGAAUUUGUUUCCUUUUUUCUUUCAUCCUCAUGUCUUCAAUUUCACUUUGCAUCCCUUUCUUUUCUUUUUGCAACUUCUGCUUUAUUUCUUGUUCACCUUGAUGUUUGAUGAUCUCCUCUCGUCGUUGUUCAACCUCCUUUUUCUGCUUUGUUUCUCUCACGAGGGCAGUUCUUUCUUCUUUGAAAGUAGCCCAUAUUCUUUUUAUCUUCUGUUCUUUUUGAAUGCUUCUUUUGAUUACACGUUGGUUUUCUCUUUUCUUCAUCUCCAGCUCAACCACCAGAACUUCUAUCUCUUGUCUUUCCCUUUUAAUAUUUUCUAGUCUCAUAUCAAGCUUCUGUUUUUCUCUUUGGAUUUUUUCCCAGAUGUUGAUUGUUUCAUCCAUCUCUGCAGUGUCUUGUAUGGUAACUCUUCCAAAGAGUAUAUUAAGCUGAUAUUUUAACCUCUUCAUUUUGUUUGUUAUAUUCUUAUUUUCAGCCUCAACUUCUCUGAAUCCUUUUUUGUCCUUUUCUAAAUGAGCAUUCACAUUUUCUAGAAUUUUCAUCUCUGUCCUAAUUGUUCCCAUGUGUAAAUUAAACUUGUCUCUUAUGUCUUGGAUGUAAAUAGUAUACUGAGAAACUUUUAAGCUGUGGUUUUUGAUUUUCUCCAUUAACAUUUUCACAUCUUUCCUUCCAAAAUGUUUUUCAUGUUCAUUGGGUAGAUGGAUGAACAGAUUAUGGUCUCUCUGCUUCUCCUCAGCCAGCUCUUCCAUCUGUCGUUUCAAUUUUACCCUUAACACUUCUAGUUCAUCCCUUUUUCUCAUAGUCAUCUCCAGUCUUUGGUCUAAUUCUCUUCUUUUCUUUUUGAUCUCGGUCCUCAAUGCUUCCUUUUCUUGUUGUAUUUCAUACCACAUUAUUUCAAUUUCCUCCUUUUUUCUCAUACUUUUUCUAAAAAAACGCUCAAAUUCUUUUACCUUUAUUUUCAAUUCUGAUUGCAGCAGCUCCAUUUCUCUUAUUUGCCUUUUGGUCAUGUGUACUCCGUCAUCAAGCUCCUGUUCUUUUCUUUCAGUUUUCUCCCUCAAAUGGUUCACCUGUUCCUCCUGUAUUUCUGUUUCAGUUAGCUGUUUAACCAUUUUCUCAUUCUUUAUCGCUGUUUGGAUCUGUUCUGUCAUCUCAGUCUCUUCUCUCUUGAUUAUUUGUUUUACAUUCUCACUAACUGAUUUUUUAUUUUUUUGACCCAGACUGUCUAAUGAAAGUUUUACCUCCUCCAGUUUCUCAUUAACUUGUUUGAGGCUUUCUGUUCCCUCAGUUUCUUUGUCCAUUUUGUUUUUUGUCAGUUUAUCUCUUUUAUUGUCCAUUGUCUUCUUAAUUUCAGUCUUGAAAAUUUCAAGAGCAGUUCUUUGCUUAGGUGUACUACCAUGUUCCAUGUCUGGUUUUGCGCCUUUUGUCAAGUUAAGGUUAAUGCAGUCAAGGUCUUUAAACUGUCUUAGUUUUAUUUCAGUCUCCUUCAUACUAAUUUCUAUCUCUUCAAUUUUCCUUCUGGUCUUAGCAGCUAUUUUCUCGACUGUGCUCUUAACUUUUGCCAUUUUUUCUAAAUUCUGCCGAAUCAGUUCAGUUUGCCUCUGCAUUUUUAUUUUAAAGAUGUCUAAUCCAUCUCUCUCUUUCAAAGUAUUUUCUAAUCUUUGAUCUAAUUCUCUUCUCUUCUUUUUCACUGCAGUUUUCAUUGAUUUUAUAUUGCUCAUUUCUUCUGUCAUAUGUACUUCACUUUGCUUUAUUUUGGUUUUUACAAUUUCCAAAAACUCUUGAAACUGUUUGAUGUCUUUUAGCAAUCCUUCAAUUUCACUGCCUUCAUUCUGUUGAUAUUUGUCCAUGUUAUUUUUUUCCGCUAGGUUCUCAAGUCCUCCUCUUAGCGUUCUUAUAAUCUCUUGUGUUUUGUAAAUCUCUGCCCUGAGUCUUUGUAUAUCGGCUCCUCUGUCCUUUUUAUCUUCAUCGGUGUGUUCAACAUGUUUUUUCAUCUCUUCUCCUGAUUUCUGAAUUAGUUUUUGCUUGUUAACAUUAAGCCUUAUCAAGCUAGACUCUUGUUUUAUUUUUUUGGCAUCGUCCCCCUCUUGUACUUCAUAUUUUAUUAUUUCAUUUUUGAAAACUUUGGUGUUCAGCAUCAAAAUCUUUCUCUGUUCAGUUUCUUCCAACAGCUUAGUUAAUACUUCCUGGGCAUUUUCAGUUUCCCCGACUGUAAUUACAGUGUCUGCCCUCUGCAGGUCAUUUAUUUCCAAAAUGAGCCUUUUUAUAUCUUGAGUUUUUUCGUUCAUGUUAUCAAUAGUGUACUUUAUUUGUUCCUUUAUUUCCCCCUCUUGCUGCUUUAGGUUACGUAUCAGUUUUUCCACUUCUUCCCUUUCUCUUACAAUUAUCAGUAAUUCAGUUUUAUCAUGCACUACUUCUUCAUGAAUUUCAGUUCGCAUCUGUAAGCAAAAGUCCUGCUCCCCAUUUUUGCCUUCUGCAAAACAAUAUUUGGAUUCAAAAUGCUCCUUCUGUUGUUCUUUUAUUUUUUUAUUUUGAUGCUGAUCAUCUAAUGUUACAGAAUUUUGUAAUGAUGUUGUAUCUGUUAUACUUUUUUUCCCUUUUUUGUCCUUUGGAAUUGCUGAUGUUUGAUCCUCAAGGGAGUCUGUGUCUAUUUCAUACUGUGAUUCUUGAAGUUUGGAUGCGUUCACUGAAAAAGUAUGUUUGAUUGUAGAUUGUGCCAAUAUCCAUUUGUUGACCCAAGUUUUCAUGGAUGUCAGUUUUUCCUUCACAAAAACAGAAAAAAAGAGCUUUUUUUGUUUUUGAUGACACCAAGACAACAAUAAAGAUCUUCUUAAAACAUCUAUGUUUUAAUUUUUUGUUUCACAUUUAUGGAUCUUACUAGGGUUGGGCCAUAUGUAAAAAUUUUCCAACCGACAAUUGUCAGUCCAAUAAUCGACGAUGGGCGAUAUAUUCGCGCAUACGCAGACUUGUUGAUUGGCAGAGCAAUGUAGCCAUGCAUGGAGUGAUUUGCACAUUUACAACACAGAUGAAGUCCAAACAUGGACGAACUAAUUUCCCCAAAAAAUUAGGGCUGUCAACAUUUAUGCGGUCAUCACGAUUAACCCAUCUGGAGUGCAGAAUGAAUAAACUUUGGACAAACUGCUCGAAAUGCGUUGAGAGAGACAUUUAAGGGAUUUUGACUCAGUCUGCGAUCCAGAUGGGUUAAUUGUUAAACGCGUUAGUCGUGAUGGUGGCACUUUAACGUUGACAGCACUAAAGAAAUAUAAAGUUGCCAAGUUGGGAUUUCUUUGGCUUUAAACCAGAUGAAAAUAGUAAACCUAAGGAUGUAACCAAAACGGUCUGCCCCUUGUGCAGAUGUAUAAGUAUAAGUACUCAAACACGACUAACUUGCAUGAGCAUGUACGUGUCCACCAUCUGGCUGAGUAUGCUAGUGUAGUGAAGCAGAUUUUGGGGUAGGAUUUUACGUGAUGUCCUCGAUUGCAGCACUAACAUCCACCUUCCCAGCUGAUAAUUAGCAACCUUAUAAGAAACAGCUGCGCUUCACUACCACAUGGAGGUAUUUGGCAGUCUUUUCCCAUCCAAGGUGGCUGAGAGCAUUAGGCAGCUUAAGCACUGCAGAGCUCCUCAGGAAAGCUGCUCAUUUUAGUAUUGCCCUUUAGUAGUGAUGGCCAAAUGAAGCUUUCCGAAGCACUGAAGCUUGUAUUGAAAAACGGUUCAUUACUCGAAGCUUUUCAACACAGUCCUCUCUGGUGACAUCUGGUGGCCAAAAAUACAAAGAGCAGCUUGAAUCCACAAAAUAAAACCAACUGCUUCAUUAUGAUUGCCCACUCUACUGAGUGGAAUUCUGUCUGAUAUUGGGCCGCCGUUGUGUUGCUUUGAACGUGUAUUUUUUGGUGGUUAAAAAAAUGUGUUUUAUUUGUUUAAUAAAUAGUUUUGACCAGUAAACUCUCCUUGUUAUGCACCAUGGUGUGGUCUUCCUUUGCUUGUGACUUCUUGAUGUUGGUAAAUACAAUAAUUGAAAAAUACCACGUUACAUAUAAUAUGUACAACACAUUAUGGAGUAUGCUUCUGCUCUGAGGUCCUGCCUCCAUGCACUUAUGCAAUCAAUCGCUAGACAGGUGUAUUUAUAAAUAAUAUUAUAUUAGGGAAAUUUCCCCAGACAUAUAUUUGACCUGGGGGUAGAAUUGAUUGUGAAAUGGAAAAGGAAAAUGCUUAUGAACUUGCAAAUUAAAAACAUUAUGCAUUUAAGGUAACCCUUUUUCAUUUUUAUUUAAAAAGAAAAUUUGUUCUAGUGUGCGAUGGCCGAACCUGUUCCUUUUCGUGGAGAUAAUUUCUCCUGCCUUAAGGAAAAUCCCUUCACAUGGCCCAGAGGAGGCUGGAGUGCAGAGAAACUGGUAGAGAUGCAGUUAUACAGUCUACCUGGGCCCCACAAACGAUCAGAUAAAGAGAAUAAAUAAAUUCAAUUGCUGCACAUUUGGCAGACUAACAUUUUCAGAUUAAUUAAACAAUAAAAUAUAUAUUUUUACAACAUUACAUGUAAAGAGUCAAGUGGAAGUUUUUCUAAAGUUAUUUAAUGAUAUUUAUAUUAUGGAAGCAGAUUUUUGACAUUUUACCUUUUUCCCGUUUUCAGAUAUAAUAAACACGCACAAAACAAAAGCAAACGGCCAGAACACAAAGCUGGAAAACCCACCGGAUUGACAAAAAAUCAACUCAAAAUUCUCCCACACAACAGAACCUCCUCAAUUCCUCGCUGGCUCCAAAUCUCUCAGUGGAAUGAUCAGUGGUUCGCUGUCACCAUCAAAACACUCCACAAAUCCCGUGAAUGAUUCGCUUCCUUAUAAACCAUUGAAUCAGAUACCGAAGCAGUUAGGCUCUAAAUGAAGCUUCGGACGUCACCGAUCACGUGACUCUGGCCAAACGAAUCAAGCUUCGACACAGUGCUUCUGAAGCAGUGUGUUGAUUUUUUUGACACACGCACCAGAGCUUCAGCUUCAAGCGGGUCAUCACUACCCUUUAGAGAAUGGUAAGAGGGACUCUUGCAUUUGUCAUAAUGUGGCAUAUAGUAGGGUGGACCUUGACGACUGUUUCCCUCUUUUGUUACAGGAUUGUGCCAUACUGCUGCUGUUUUGUGCUAUCUUGUUUUGUGUCGUUCUUUCUUGUUCAGUUUUGUUCUGUCUUGUUGUGGCCUUACAAAUGUUUAUGGACUGGCCUCGACUGACUCUUUAUGAUCUUUUACUUGGAAUUGUUUUAUAUAUUGUAAUCUUGCUUUUAUAAAGAACUGUAACUUAGGGAUGGUUUGUUUUAUUUAUCUCUUUUACUAAUUUGUUUAAUGUUUUACGCUUAGUUUUAUUGCUUUAGUGGAGGUGCGGCCGCUUGUUGAGGGGCUAGGCACAUGAGGUGGAAUCCCCUCCUCGAUGCAUGAGAGUGUACACACCAGGCAUAGGUAGACCGCACCAUUUAGAUUUCAGUGUGAGUGACGGUGAGGUUUGCUGUGGAACUACAUUGGUGAGUAAUUGGUGGUACCCUUGGGCACUCCUCUCUGUAGGUUGCCUCAAGUGGCCGGUCUCAACUAUUUUGUUUAGUUACUUUAUCGAGUUAUUUUACUAGGGUGGCAGCGAGCCUUGUGGUUUUAAUCAUUGUUUGUUAAUUGUUUUAAUUAACAGUCUUGCAGUCUUGGCCCUGCUACCCUAAGAACUCUGAUUUCAGUUCUAUGCUUUUUAGUAGUUUUUCUUAAUAAAUUUUGAUUUGUAAAACUGAUCUGCCUCACCUCUGCUGUUAAUAACUAGCCUGUGGGCUUAGGUAGAUAGUGUAACAUCUACACUGGCUAUAAAAAAAUCUUUCCUGGGGUGUAACUCUCCUCUCAGGUGGCGUUGUCACCUUCCCUGGUUAUCCCUCAUUUGCGCCACCACACAAGGCUAUCACCAGCUUCUGCAGCUCCAUCAACAAGCAUUUGGGCACACUCUCAGGAGGGUGCAUUUGCUCACAGAUGACAGAGGGUGCUUUUAAACCAGUACUCUUAAUAUUUUUUUUUUGACUGAUUCUAUUUGCUCCAUCAUUAUUAGCAAACUUACUCAUGGGCAAAUAAAUAAAUCGCCAGUGGGCUCAGCCUAUAGUUGAUAUAUUCGUCCAAUCACCCAACCCUAGAUCUUACACAGACUGCUAUGCUCCUGAGCCUGGCAGUUGCAAUAAAUGUAGAAAUCUUCUAUCUCACUUAGGCUACAUCCACAGGUACCCGGGUAUUUUUGAAAACACAGAUUUUUCUAUGCAUUUGCACCUUUCGUCCACAUGCAAACGGUGUUUUCGGUCACUGAAAACAGAGAUUUUUAAAAACUCCAGCCAGGGUGGAUAUUUUUGAAACCUCAGUUUUUGCGUUUACGUGGACGAGAAAAAAGGAGAAAACGCAGCAUCAAAGGUGUGCGCAUUUUUUGACGUCAUACUGUGCGCCACGUUAUUGUUUCGAUGAAAUGAGUUUCUACAAUGGUGGACUUACACAAAAUACCAUUACUGUUAAUUUUACUCUGCAGUGUUUAAAUGCUUACACAUUUGCUGUCCCUCCACACAUAGGACUCAGUUCUGCUUCUAUUCGCCAUCUUUGUUUACUCUUUCCCACCCAGGCUGACUUCUGAUUGGCCAACAUUUCUACACGGAUAGGAAUAUAGCGCCACCUGCUGCUUUGGCAUGUUCCUAGCAGCGUUUUCCUUUGUUUUUGGCUUUUACGUGUGGAUGGGAUUUUUUUUUUAAAAAUGGAAAAUCUCAGUUUUCAAAAAUACCCAUGUAAGUGUGGACGUAGCCUUACAUGGAUAAGGAUCAAGAUGACAUGGAAUGAGUUUACUACUAUGAGCAGAAGUUAUUCAUGCUUAACUGUAAAUGUUUACUGUUCUUUUUUUUCAUUAAAUUAAAUAUAACAUUAUCAGCAUCUUAUCAGCACAGUGUGAUGCCAUUCUGGUAGCAGACUUAGCUUUGAUUACACACAGGCACACUGAUGUCUGCAUGGACAUUUGUGCCCACCGUCUGAUGACAUAAUUUACUUUACUAUAGCAGACUUAAGUGCACUCAAUCAUUCUUCACCUUUCUUUCUCUAUUGCCUGCCACUGGUGUAUGUCUAUCUUUUCCAUGUUUAAAGGGCACCCCCCACCCCAAAACAAAAAAACACAUCUGGUGGUAGGCGGUAUUUUCGCCACUGACUCCAAAAUCCACCGUUCCCAAUGCAUAACUGAUUAUUUUUACACAUUCUUUUGCAUUUCAGUUUGUUAGGUUUAUACAGUAAAAUUACUUAUGUAAUUAACAUUCCAUGCUUGAACCAAGUGGGAAACAUUGGAGAAAAAGUCAGAAAUGUUAACUUUGCAUAGCCUGGGGAUAGUUCUUAUCAUCUUUAGGAUGGCUAGAAUAAUUUCCACAACUUAUUGACAACAGCAACUACAGUAUGUGGAUAUCAGUAACCAUACCCUUUCAAUUGUCAGAAUAUUAAAAAAUUAUGUAUACGCAAAUUACAAUUUCAAGCUCAGUUAAACCCAAACUGUUAUAUCAGGCAUCUUACUACUUUUUUACAGUUUUAUUGGAGUACUUAAUGGAGUAUUUCUUCCAACAAUUCCAGUCGGUAAAUAAAGGAAUCGUUAUCAAAUACUGAAUGUCUAUCAACUAAAAGCAGGUUCAAUAAAAAUCAGGGGAUCCUGACAAGAAAUACCUAAAAGGAAAGAAUAAAUACUUACCAUAUAGUUCUUGGCUUCUUCCUGGUUCUUACUAAUCUCCCUUUGGGUUCUCUGCAUUUUCUCCCAAGUGUUGUUCAUUUCUGCACCAGUUUUUUCUAUUUUACCUUUUAUCUCAGUGACAGUAUUUUCCAGUUUUUGUUCAACCCUUUCCUUUUGUCGCUGUAUUUUUGUCUUCAUGAUUUCUAACUCAUCCCUCUCUUUCCUUAUCUUCUCCAGCAAACGCUCAAGCUCCCUUCUUUUUUGCUUUUCUCGAAAAUUUGUCCAUUUCGUUUGAGCCUUUACUUCUGUAAAGUCCCUCAUGCUCUGCUUUGUUUCUUCACCCUUGUUACAAAGCACUUCAUUGUUUUCUUCUUCCUCAGAGAUCAAAUUCUGCAUGUAAGUAUUUGGUUUGUCUUUUUCUACAUUUUCCCUUCCUGUCUUUAGUUUCAUUUCAACUCUCUUUAAAUCAUCUCUUUCAGGCUGGAUGUGUGUCACUUUAAAGCUUAGAUCUGAAUCUUGUUGCUUUUGAUAAUCAAUAUUCAUCUUGAUGUUCAUGUGAUUGUUCUCUGCCAUUAGCUGCUGCUUUGCACUUUGAGUCACUUCCAGUUGUUGUUCACUGUCUUCCAGCACAUCCCAAAGUUUCUCCAUCUCUUCCUGGAUUCUACACAGUUUUCUCUUCACUGUGUCAAAUGUGGCUUUUCCAUCGUUUCUUUCUCUCUGUCCUUCUUUAUACAUGUGAAUUUUCUUCAUUUCAGCCUGUUUUAUAAUGCUUGCCCAUCUGUGCUUGACCAUGUUGAUCUUUACAUACAUAAUAUGUUUAAUGUGGUUAAUUUGUUCACUGUUUUUUGAAAUGUCCUUUUUAUUUCUUUUUAAUGCUUGCUGUAUGUUUGCUUUAGUUUUCUCCAUUUUUUCUUUAACUUUCUUUACUUCAAGCAUUAUUUCCCUGUUUUUCUCAGUUGCAUUCUCCAGUAUAUCCAGUUCCCGCUUUACCUGCUCAUUAAGGGGCUCUUUGGGUUCCUCCCUUAUUGGUGAUUCUGUCUUACUAGCUUUUAUAGUGUCUAGCUUGUGUCGCUCGUUGAUGAAGUAUUGACGUCUUCUGUCCAGAGUAUCCUUUUCUUGAUAUAUUUUAGUCCACGUUUUCAGAAAGUUUGUUUUUUCCUUAGCAACUGAAUUUUUGCUUUGUUUGAGUUUCUCAGUUAUAUUUUUUAUUUGGAAGUUAAAUUGCUUUAAUAGUAGGUGAUGUUUAUUUUUUUCAGAUGUCAGUCUCUCAAUGUCUUCCUGUUGCCCCUCUGUCUUUGUCUUUAAGAAGUCAAUUUCAUUUGUCUUUCUUUCUGUCUGUCUCCAGAGUUGUUCGAUCUCCUCCAUUGCUUGACAUAUCAGUUGCCUUUGUCUUUUUAAAGUUUCUUUUUGGGUUUUCAUGUCAGUUCUUGUUUGUUUGCUAUCUGAUUGCUUUCUGUUUUCCAUUGUUGAGUUCCAUUCUGUUGUCAUCCUGCUGUCUUUGUUCUGUUGGUAAAAAUAAAUGAAUAAACAAAGUGGCCAAACCAUAACUAACAAAUGACAAGACAUUCUAAACUCAUACUGUGUUGGAAGAUAACAAGUAAAAGAGGGAUAACCAGAAAUUGACAGAUGGAUUGGGGCCACAACUGCAGUCAUGUGGAUUCUGUACCAGUCCAUCAUGGUGAACAGAGAGCUAAAUAUAAAAGCGAAGAUCUCAAUUUACUGUUUGCUCUACAUCCCUACCCUCACCUAUGGUCAUAAGCUUUGGGUAGUGAUUGAAAGAACAAGAUCACAGAUACAAGCAUGACAUUAGCUUUUUCUGAAGGGUGGCUGCUAAUCCUGCACAUUGAAAGAAGCCAGUUCGGGUGGUUUGUGUGUCCCACAGGGCGGAGGCCCUGGAGGCCUGGGGUUCUCUGCUUAGACUGCUGCCCCCACGACCCAGCCACAGAGAAGAUGGAUAAAUGACAUAAUUGUUUAUAUCACAUUUACAGUAUUUUUUUGGCAACAAUGUAAUAAUGUAGUUGGGUUAUCUGAGGUCUGUUCUAUAGCAAAUGUAGAAAAAAUGUUUUAAGAAGAGCCAAUAUAACUCAGUGUUCUAAAGAAUGUGACUGUUUCCUUGCAAGACCAUAGCGCGGCUACGUCUGCAGCCUGUCCACAGCUUGGACACAAACAUUUCACUGCAUGUGUUACUCUGUAUGAUUGUUGUUUAAUGCUUUUUAAAAUCAUAUUCAAGUAGAUUUUGAAAUGAAGAUAGCUUGUAUUUUUGUUUUUUGCAUUAGAGGUGUUUAAGAAAAGUUGAGUUUUGUAAUUGCAUUUUUACCUUGUUUAUACUUGUACUUUUUUUUUUUUUUAAUAAAUAUCUUGUAUGUAAGGUGACCUUGAGGGUCUUUAAAGGUGCUUAUAAAUAAAAUGUAUUGUUGUUGUUGUUAUUGUUAUUGUUAUUGUUGUUAUUAUUGUUAUUAUUGUUAUUAUUGUUAUUAUUGUUAUUGUUGUUAUUGUUAUUGUUGUUAUUGUUGUUAUUAUUGUUGUUGUUGUUGUUAUAUUUUUUCUCAAUAAUAAUAAUAAUAACACAAAUGCAUAAGCUGCAAACAUGUUAUAUAGUUGUUUGGAAUAGAAUUACAAUGAGAUUAUCUUGGUUUAACAAGAGGUAACUGGAUAUGUUCAGACUUUAAAUGUAAACAUAGCCAAUUUGCAUUGAAUUACCC